AUAUCAAUAAGCGGAGGAAAAGAAACCAACAGGGAUUGCCUCAGUAACGGCGAGUGAAGCGGCAACAGCUCAAAUUUGAAAUCUGGCUUCUCGGAGCCCGAGUUGUAAUUUGUAGAGGAUGUUUCGGGUACCGCUCCGGCUUAAUUUUCUUGGAACAGAAUGUCACAGAGGGUGAGAAUCCCGUCUGGAGCCGCGGUAGGGCCUAUGUGAAACUCCUUCGACGAGUCGAGUUGUUUGGGAAUGCAGCUCAAAAUGGGUGGUAAAUUUCAUCUAAAGCUAAAUAUUGGCCAGAGACCGAUAGCGCACAAGUAGAGUGAUCGAAAGAUGAAAAGCACUUUGAAAAGAGAGUUAAACAGUAUGUGAAAUUAUUGAAAGGGAAGCGCUGGCAACCAGACUUGCGUGUAGGGGUUCCCCCUCGCUUCUGCGUGGGUUACUCCCCUAUAUCCAGGCCAACAUCGGUUUUGGCGGUCGGUCAAAGGCCUUGGGAAUGUACCUUCCCCCGGGAAGACUUAUAGCCCAGGGUGUCAUGCGGCCUGCCGGGACCGAGGAACGCGCUUCGGCUCGGAUGUUGGCGUAAUGGUUGUCAGCGA
This 590-nucleotide ribosomal RNA is filed under the name uncultured fungus. RNAcentral's name for it is "eukaryotic LSU rRNA". It matches the Rfam family "Eukaryotic large subunit ribosomal RNA", at positions 40 to 647 of the family's 3401-position model. Lineage: Eukaryota; Fungi. The record is from RNAcentral.